Molecule: long non-coding RNA, 89 nt
Organism: Etheostoma spectabile (orangethroat darter)
Lineage: Eukaryota; Metazoa; Chordata; Actinopteri; Perciformes; Percidae
Exons: 3
Source: RefSeq, a predicted model, not a curated record
UUUCUCUGAUACGGAGCAAAGAGGUCCCCAGAAGACCAGCAGCAGACUGGGCCUCUGAUAGCAGCCAUGUUCAGAAACGGAGAGGAAGA